GACAGAGGUGCCGAGCGUUAGGCGGAAUCACUGGGCUUAAAGCGUGUGUAGGCGGACUGAUAAGUACCUUGUGAAAUCCCCCGGCUUAACCGGGGAACUGCUUGGUAUACUGUCGGUCUUGAGCCACCUAGGGGCAGCUGGAACAAACGGUGGAGCGGUGAAAUGCGUAGAUAUCGUUUGGAACGCCAAAGGUGAAAACAGGCUGCUGGGGGUGUGCUGACGCUGAGACACGAAAGCUAGGGGAGCAAACGGG
RNAcentral lists this ribosomal RNA (253 nucleotides) under uncultured bacterium. RNAcentral's name for it is "partial 16S ribosomal RNA". It matches the Rfam family "Bacterial small subunit ribosomal RNA", at positions 524 to 776 of the family's 1533-position model. The record is from RNAcentral.